CUGGACGCAGCUUCAGGCAUCCACACCACCGCUGGGAUGCUCCUAUUUGUCAUCUCCCAUUCUAAUGUCGACCAUGUGAGCGCCGUAAAGUAACAAGACAGAAGGACAGAGACUUAUACGUUUGGAAACCAGAAAUCUUUGCUAACUUUUUCAUUUUUCAGCAUAGCUUCUUCCCCUGCCCUCUCUUUAACAAUAUCACAAACCAAAUACCCCUUAGCUGGUCUAGCAUGUUCUUGCCCCUUUUUGACCAAGCGAGGUUUGCCAAGUAAAGGAGACCAAG
Non-coding RNA from Pelobates cultripes (western spadefoot toad), 280 nucleotides. The record is from the annotation of a GenBank genome assembly. NCBI's taxonomy places the organism in Eukaryota, Metazoa, Chordata, Amphibia, Anura, Pelobatidae.